CACUCCUGCGGGAGGCAGCAGUGGGGAAUAUUGGACAAUGGGCGCAAGCCUGAUCCAGCCAUGCCGCGUGAGUGAUGAAGGCCCUAGGGUUGUAAAGCUCUUUCACCGGUGAAGAUAAUGACGGUAACCGGAGAAGAAGCCCCGGCUAACUUCGUGCCAGCAGCCGCGGUAAUACGAAGGGGGCUAGCGUUGUUCGGAUUUACUGGGCGUAAAGCGCACGUAGGCGGACUAUUAAGUCAGGGGUGAAAUCCCGGGGCUCAACCCCGGAACUGCCUUUGAUACUGGUAGUCUUGAGUUCGAGAGAGGUGAAUGGAAUUCCGAGUGUAGAGGUGAAAUUCGUAGAUAUUCGGAGGAACACCAGUGGCGAAGGCGGCUCACUGGCUCGAUACUGACGCUGAGGUGCGAAAGCGUGGGGAGCAAACAGGAUUAGAAACCCUGGUAGUCCCAUG
This 449-nucleotide ribosomal RNA is filed under the name uncultured organism. RNAcentral describes it as "partial 16S ribosomal RNA". It matches the Rfam family "Bacterial small subunit ribosomal RNA", at positions 334 to 799 of the family's 1533-position model. The record is from RNAcentral.